Etheostoma spectabile (orangethroat darter) is the source of this 132-nucleotide long non-coding RNA. RefSeq lists it as uncharacterized. Lineage: Eukaryota; Metazoa; Chordata; Actinopteri; Perciformes; Percidae. The record is from RefSeq and is a predicted model, not a curated record. The transcript is spliced from 3 exons.
AAUCCAGAUUUUUGGGGUGCAGCAGAAUACCGACUACAUUGGUUAAGAUUCUGCCUAAACCUAAUACCGAAUCCCCCUCCCAUCCUCAGUCCAUUACCACAGUAAACACAUUGAUGAAGGUAACGUACCUGA